UGCGCAGGCGGGGCAAUAAGUCAGUGGUGAAAUCCUGCGGCUUAACCGUAGAACUGCCAUUGAUACUGUUGCCCUUGAGUAUAGUCGAGGUGGGCGGAAUAUGUAAUGUAGCGGUGAAAUGCAUAGAUAUUACAUAGAACACCAAUUGCGAAGGCAGCUCACUAAGCUAUCACUGACGCUGAGGCACGAAAGCGUGGGGAGCGAACAGGAUUAGAUACCCUGGUAGUCC
RNAcentral lists this ribosomal RNA (229 nucleotides) under uncultured bacterium. RNAcentral describes it as "partial 16S ribosomal RNA". It matches the Rfam family "Bacterial small subunit ribosomal RNA", at positions 568 to 796 of the family's 1533-position model. The record is from RNAcentral.